AUUGAACGCUGGCGGCAGGCCUAACACAUGCAAGUCGAGCGGAUGAAGCGAGCUUGCUCCUGUAUUCAGCGGCGGACGGGAGAGUCAUGCCUAGGAAUCUGCCUGGUAGUGGGGGAUAACGUCCGGACACGGGCGCUAAUACCGCAUACGUCGUGAGGGAGAAAGUGGGGGAUCUUCGGACCUCACGCUAUCAGAUGAGCCGAGGUCGGAUUAGCUAGCUGGUGGGGUAAAGGCCUACCAAGGGGACGAUCCGUAGCUGGACUGAGAGGAUGAUCGGUCCCACUGGGACUGAGACACGGGCCAGACUCCGACGGGGGGCAGCAGUGGGGAAUUUUGGACAAUGGGCGAAAGCCUGAUCCAGCCAUGCCGCGUGUGUGAAGAAGGUCUUCGGAUUGUAAAGCACUUUAAGUUGGGAGGAAGAGCAGUAAGUUAAUACCUUGCUGUUUUGACGUUACCAACAGAAUAAGCACCGGCUAACUUCGUG
Molecule: ribosomal RNA, 484 nt
Filed under: uncultured bacterium
Lineage: Bacteria
Description: partial 16S ribosomal RNA
Rfam family: Bacterial small subunit ribosomal RNA
Source: RNAcentral